CCUACGGGGGGCAGCAGUGAGGAAUAUUGGUCAAUGGACGAGAGUCUGAACCAGCCAAGUAGCGUGAAGGAUGACUGCCCUAUGGGUUGUAAACUUCUUUUAUAUGGGAAUAAAAUGUUCCACGUGUGGGAUUUUGUAUGUACCAUAUGAAUAAGGAUCGGCUAACUCCGUGCCAGCAGCCGCGGUAAUACGGAGGAUCCGAGCGUUAUCCGGAUUUAUUGGGUUUAAAGGGAGCGUAGGUGGAUUGUUAAGUCAGUUGUGAAAGUUUGCGGCUCAACCGUAAAAUUGCAGUUGAAACUGGCAGUCGUGAGUACAGUAGAGGUGGGCGGAAUGCGUGGUGUAGCGGUGAAAUGCUUAGAUAUCACGAAGAACUCCGAUUGCGAAGGCAGCUCACUGGACUGCAACUGACACUGAGGCUCGAAAGUGUGGGUAUCAAACAGGAUUAGAUACCCCUGUAGUC
Molecule: ribosomal RNA, 460 nt
Filed under: uncultured bacterium
Lineage: Bacteria
Description: partial 16S ribosomal RNA
Rfam family: Bacterial small subunit ribosomal RNA
Source: RNAcentral